AAGAAAAGAAAGGACAAAAAGAAGAAAAGGAGAAGAAAAUUUCAUUUUCUCUUUUCUUCUUCUUCUUCUCUUCCCUUCACCGCCAAGAGUUUGAAGACAUCCAAGUUCCCUUUAUUUUUUUUUCUUUUUCCUUCUUCAAUUUGCAGAGAACUUCUAAGAGAGAGUUUGGAAGAAGAAGAGAAAUUUUACUAGAAUUUUUUAGGUUGAAGAAGAGGAGGAGAACUCAAGCAAAGUGUAUCAAUGGCUGAAUUUUAGUUCAUUCUGCACAUCACUGGUUUUUAAUUCGGUUUGAACUCUUCAAAAGGAAUUAAGAGAAAACAGGGCAGUUGGUUUUCACUCGAAAUCAGGAGGUCUCUGGUGUUUCUUGUAUUUCAGAGUGUAUCGGUGGAGUUAGAAUCUUUAUUUGGAACAAGUUAAAGAGGUCGUGUGCGCGCGAUUCUGGAAGUGGUUCUGUUUUGAGGGUUAUAUGUGUUUAUGCACGGGGAAUCAGAUUUAUAUGUCUUCAGGCCGAGAAGAAUUAAACCGAGCUUAUAGACCAAGGAUCUAGCCCAAGACUGUGAGUGACAAAACCAACUUUGAAAUAUUUUCCAUAACUGUUAUUAUGAUUGAAUGCGAUAAAUGUUUAUUUACGAAGCCAUGAAAGGUAUUUGAAUUUCAUGACUAAUUUCAAGUAUACAUUUGGAGACUAGAUUUCUUAAAGAAAUUUAUGCUAGCACGUAGAUAUUAAAUGUUUGGAAAGUAUUUAAACCACAAUAUUUUAAGCAAAGCAUGAAUUAGUAUGAAGUUUUGUUUUAAGAACUACAAUUUUCCACGAAAGAGCUGAGUAAAGUUCGAGCUUUGUGUAAAAUUUAUAAGCAGGCAUGUUUUAAUAUUUUAUGAUGAUUUAUGAAAUUUUCAUUAACUACAUGACUGAGAUCUUGAGCCUGAGGCUAGAGAUUACCGUGUGCACACUGGUUCGAUUUCUUUGUUGACGUUGAGUGUACUCCGUAACAACGAUGCUGUCGUGAGUGCUGGGCGGGCCCCACUACGACAAAGACGAUGGGAGUGCUGGGCGGGCCCCACUACAUCGUAGUGCUUGUAAACGUUGUUGUACUAGGUGUACCCUACACAACGUAGAUUCGUCAUGUUAGUUAAAAUGCUUCGAUAUACUUGAUAUGCCUUGCUAGAUUUCAAUGAUGAACAUGCUGAGUAUUUAAGGAAGCUAUUCUUACUAUUACACAUUUACAUUUACGACUUGUAUAAACAGAUUUAUAUGUGUAAAGUUUUCACGUGCUCUUAUCUUUAAAUUCAUAGUUUUAAACUGAGUCACUCACUGAGCUUCAUAGCUCACCCUUUCCAAAAUGUUUUACCCAUUUUCCAGGUAGAGAUCGACUUCCCGGUGCCUGAUAGACUGCCUUAGUCUGCGGAAGCUUCAUUAUCGAUUGCCAGUACGUGUUUUGAGUUGGGCAUAAAGUCUGUUGUGUUGUGAUGUAUUCACACCCUUGUAUGUUAUAGAUACUCCACAGUUUGUAUAAGCUUUAGGAGCUGUAGUUGUGUAAAUUUUGUUGGUUAUAUUUUGAUUAAGGUAUCUUUAGGUUUA
Long non-coding RNA from Cucumis melo (muskmelon), 1579 nucleotides. RefSeq lists it as uncharacterized. NCBI's taxonomy places the organism in Eukaryota, Viridiplantae, Streptophyta, Magnoliopsida, Cucurbitales, Cucurbitaceae. The record is from RefSeq and is a predicted model, not a curated record. The transcript is spliced from 4 exons.